GAACGCACAUUGCGCCCUUCGGUAUUCCGUUGGGCAUGCCUGUUCGAGCGUCAUUUAAACCUUCAAGCUAUGCUUGGUGUUGGGUCUUGUUCGCGUCUUUGUGCGUGGACUGGCCUUAAAUUCAUUGGCAGCCGGUAUGUUGGUUUCGUGCGCAGCACAUUGCGUUUUGAUUCCAGCCUGCCCCCUUCCAUUAAGCCUCUUUUUUACUUUGACCUCGGAUCAGGUAGGGAUACCCGCUGAACUUAAG
RNAcentral lists this unclassified non-coding RNA (247 nucleotides) under Praetumpfia obducens. Its description in RNAcentral is "sequence contains 5.8S rRNA gene". Lineage: Eukaryota; Fungi; Ascomycota; Dothideomycetes; Pleosporales; Melanommataceae. The record is from RNAcentral.